Molecule: ribosomal RNA, 37 nt
Filed under: Metarhizium anisopliae
Lineage: Eukaryota; Fungi; Ascomycota; Sordariomycetes; Hypocreales; Clavicipitaceae
Also listed under: 2 other names
Description: partial 28S ribosomal RNA
Source: RNAcentral
UUGACCUCGAAUCAGGUAGGACUACCCGCUGAACUUA